This 141-nucleotide ribosomal RNA is filed under the name uncultured bacterium. RNAcentral's name for it is "partial 16S ribosomal RNA". It matches the Rfam family "Bacterial small subunit ribosomal RNA", at positions 355 to 509 of the family's 1533-position model. The record is from RNAcentral.
UGGGGAAUAUUGGACAAUGGGGGGAACCCUGAUCCAGCGACGCCGCGUGAGUGAAGAAGUAUUUCGGUAUGUAAAGCUCUAUCAGCAGGGAAGAAAGAAAUGACGGUACCUGACUAAGAAGCCCCGGCUAACUACGUCGCC